CCUACGGGAGGCUGCAGUGGGGAAUAUUGCACAAUGGGGGAAACCCUGAUGCAGCAACGCCGCGUGGGUGAAGGAGCGUUUCGGCGCGUAAAGCCCUGUCAGCGGGGGCGAAGAACGACGGUACCCGACCAAGAAGCCCCGGCUAACUACGUGCCAGCAGCCGCGGUAAUACGUAGGGGGCGAGCGUUAUCCGGAUUUAUUGGGUUUAAAGGGUGCGUAGGCGGAUCGUUAAGUCAGUGGUCAAAUUGAGGGGCUCAACCCCUUCCCGCCAUGGAAACUGGCGUUCUUGAGUGGAAGAGAAGUAUGCGGAAUGCGUGGUGUAGCGGUGAAAUGCAUAGAUAUCACGCAGAACCCCGAUUGCGAAGGCAGCAUGCCGGCUUCCGACUGACGCUGAAGCACGAAAGCGUGGGGAUCGAACAGGAUUAGAUACCCGGGUAGUC
Molecule: ribosomal RNA, 440 nt
Filed under: uncultured bacterium
Lineage: Bacteria
Description: partial 16S ribosomal RNA
Rfam family: Bacterial small subunit ribosomal RNA
Source: RNAcentral